UUGUUAGACGCUGGAUCCUUGCUCUAGGUGUGAGCAGGAUCCUUACUCUCAUUGAGAGGAUAGCACACUGAGUUGGGGCAAUUUUCUGGGUUUAUUUCUCACACAAUGCUAUGCCAACCUGAGGGGUUGGGGAUACAUAUUUAUAGGGCUGUUAACCAGCCAGCAUAUGCCAAGAUGCUAGUCUAAGAUGCUAACUGCUGUCCUAAAAGCAGUCAAGAUGCUGUCCUACAGAUGCUAACUGCUGUCCUAAAAGCAGUCAAGGAUGCUGUCCUACACAAGGACCAUGUGCUGCCUACUGCAGCCCACAACCACCAGCCAACAGAGACUUAUCCAUCAUUCUCCCCCUAAGUCUUGUGUGGCUCCUUGUGGGGUAUCUGAGCCAUCCCGAUCCUGGUGCGAAAUUCCUGGAACUUGACUCGCCCAAGGGACUUGGUCAGAAAGUCGGCGAGCUGGUCUUGGGUGUUGAUGUAGUUGGCCCGAACGCUCCCUUCCUCCAGGCAGCUCCUGAUGAAGUGAUACUUCACCCGGAUGUGCUUGCUGCGCUCAUGGAAGACUGGGUUCUUCGCCAAGGCCAAGGCGGACUUGCUGUCCACCCUGAGCUCCACUGCCUCUGCGUCUCUGCCAAGGAGAUCGCCAAGCAGCCGAGCCAGCCACAGAGCCUGAGUAGAAGCGGUAGUGGCUGCGAUGUAUUCUGCCUCGCAGCUGGACAGAGCCACCACCUGCUGCUUUACCGACUGCCAGCUGAUCGGACACUUGCCGAGGAAGAAGAGCGUCCCGCUGGUGCUCUUGCUCGUGUCGAUGUCGCCGGCGUGGUCGCUGUCACUGUACCCGAUGAAAUGUGCCGCACCGGGGCACCUCGGGUAGUGCAGACCGUAGUCGGAGGUGCCCGCGACGUAGCGGAGGAUCCUCUUCACGGCCUGCUGGUGCUCCGUCGUCGGUCGCUGCAUGAACCGACUGACGUAGCCGACGGCGAACGCCAAGUCCGGUCGCGUGUGGACAAGGUAGCGAAGGCUGCCCACAAUACGCCGGUACUGCGUCGCGUCCACCUCUUCCUCCGUACUCUCCCGACUCAGCCUCAGCCUCUCCUCCAUAGGAGUGUGGGCUGGGUUGCAGCCGGUGAGACCGCCCAGCUCCACAAUGCGCUUGGCGUAGGCUGUCUGGCGGAGAGAGGUGCCGGAGCUGUCCUGGUGGACCUCGAUCCCCAGGUAGAAGGAGAGAGGGCCCAAGUCGCUCAUCUGGAAGGUCGCCCUCAUCUUCUCCUUGAACGCCUCGAUCUCCACCUCCUCGGUGCCGGUGAUCACAAGAUCAUCGACGUAGACACCCACCAGCAGGGCCUUUCGUCCCCUGCCCCGCCGGUAGAUGGCCGCCUCGUGCGGGCUUUGCUCGAAGCCCAUCCCCUUCAUUGUGGAAUCCAGUUUGGCAUUCCACGCCCUCGGUGCCUGCCGCAAGCCAUAGAGGGCCUUGCGCAGACGAAGCACCUUGCCUUCCUUGCCGGGAAUCACAAAUCCCGGCGGCUGGUGCACGUAGACCUCCUCCUUCAAAUCGCCGUUAAGGAACGCCGACUUGACAUCCAUGUGAUGGACACGCCAGCCCUCCUGGGCAGCUAGCGCAAGGAGAAGUCGCACGGACUCCAUCCGUGCUACGGGGGCGAAGGCGUCGUCGAAGUCGACCCCCUCCUGCUGCACGAAACCUCGAGCCACCAAGCGAGCCUUGUGCUUGACGAUGGCACCGGCUUCAUCCCUCUUCAGCUUGAACACCCACUUAAGGGUGAUCGCGCUGUGACCACGAGGGAGAUCAGCAAGCUCCCAAGUGCGGUUCUGCUCGACCGCGUCCAUCUCCUGCUGCAUCGCGGCACGCCAUGCCGCGUCUCCCUCCGCCUCAGCGAAGGAGCGAGGUUCACCGUCCUCGUGUGCCAGGUGCAGCUCCGCCUCGAAGUCGUGUACCGCUAACCCAGGGACACGUUGGUUACCGAGGAUGUUGUCCAUGGUGCGGUAGCGUAGAGGCUCAUCGUCGUGGUAGGCGUCGAUGCGAUCCUCGUCGCCGGACAGUGGAGUGGCGAACUCCACCGAACGCUGACGGACCAAAGCUGCUGGUGCCGACCUUGGAGUUGCCGGUGCCGGUGCAGGAGAGUGGGGAGCCGGUGCAGGAGUGCGUGGUGUAGCCGGUGGUGUUGGACUCGCUGGUGGUGAAGGCGGUGGUGGGCUCGCCGAAGCUGAUGGCGAGCUGAGUGCCGAGGAGGGCGAGCUCGGUGAGGACGAGCUGCUAGCUCCCCCGGCUCCCUCCAAGUGAACGUAGUCGACGGCGAAGUCCCUGAGGGUCGAAGCCGAGCCGUCGUCCACCGCCUUGUCCCAAGUCCAGCCUCACCCUUCAUCGAACACGACGUCCCGGGAGAUGCGGACGCGCUGUGUCACAGGGUCGAGGAUGCGGUAGGCCUUGGCGCCCUCCGCAUAGCCGAUGAACACUCCUGGAGUGCUGCGGUCGUCGAGCUUGCCGACGUGAGUGAGCUCCUUGGCGAACGCCAGACAACCGAAGAUGCGGAGGUGGCUCACCACCGGCUUGCGCCCGUGCCAAGCCUCGUACGGCGUCAUGCCGUCAAGCGCCUUGGUGGGCGAGCGGUUGAGGAGAUGGAUAGCGGUCAUCACCGCCUCUCCCCAGUAGAUCGCCGGCAUCCCUCUCUGCUUGAGGAGGGCGCGGGCGGUGGCGACCACCGUCUGGUUGCGGCGCUCGACGACGCCGUUCUGCUGCGGGGUGUACGGCGCGGUGAAGUGGCGCUGGAUCCCCUCGUCGGCGCAGUGCGCCGCGAACUCAGCCGCCGUGAACUCGCCGCCGUUGUCCGUGCGCAGCACCCGAAGCUUGCGGCCGCACUCCUUCUCCGCAGCAGCUUGGUGGUGCCUGAUGGCGUCCGCGGCUGCCCCCUUGGUGUCGAGGAGGACAGCCCACAUGUAGCGGGACGCGUCGUCGACGAGGAGGAGGAAGUAGCGUCGUCCUCCAGGUGUAGCCGGUGUCACGGGGCCGCAAAGGUCGCCGUGCACGAGCUCCAGCUUCUCCUUGGCGCGGAAGCUUGCUUGGCGGGGAAAGGGCAGCCGUCGCUGCUUGGUGAGGACGCAGGUGUUGCAGAACUGCUCCACGUGGUCGACGCACGGCAUGCCCUGCACCAUCUCCUUGUUGCCGAGCUGCUUCAGGGCCUCGAAGUUGAGGUGCCCAAAGCGCUCGUGCCACCGCCAGGCUUCAUCGUCUCGCCGAGCUGCAAGGCAAAAAGGUUGCGCCACCUGUACGUGAAGGACGUAGAGGCGGUUGCUCCCCCUGUUCACCUUGGCGAGAAGUCGGUGACGAGGAUCCCAAAUGCGAAGCACGCCGUCCUUGAUCUCCACGCGCGAGCCAUUCUCAUCCAGCUGUCCCAAGCUGAUGAUGGAGUUCCUCAGCGCGGGGAUGUAGUAGACGCCGGUGAGCAGCCGAUGCUCACCAUUCUUGGCGACGAAGAUUACGGAGCCGGCGCCCUUGAUCUCUACGGCGGAGGCGUCCCCGAACUUGACGGAGCCUCGAACGUUGGAGUCGAGCUCGGAGAAGAACUCCCGCCGGCCUGUCAUGUGGUGGGUGGCGCCGGUGUCGAGGCACCACCCAUCGAUCUUGUCGCUGCCGCCGGACCCGCUGCUGAGGAGGGCGUGUGCCUUGGCCUCGUCGAGGUGGAGAAGAGCCGCUGCAGCCGGUGCUGCUGGAGAUGGCUCGGCGCUAGCAUGUGCCAUGAACAGAGCUGGCUGCUCCUCCUCCGCCUGCGCGACGUGGGCCUGGGCGCGUCGUGGCUGCCUGCAGUCCUUAGCCCAAUGGCCAGCAAGACCACAGUUCCUGCAGCAGUCAUCUUGUGCCGGCUUGGGUUUUUCGGCGGCGGCGCCUUGGACACCUCCGCGGGCACCUCCGUUGGCACGCCCUUGCGCCCCGGCCUGGGCGCCUUUGCGUGACUUGCCGCGCUUGCCACGCUUGCGGCUGGCUGCUGCAGAAGAAGGCUCCCCCUUCUUCUUGUCACCUUGCCCGGCAGCCCACUGCUCCCGGGUGAGAAGGAGCUUGGGCCCCGAGGAGGGUUGUGGCUCGUCAAUGUCGACGACCUUGAGGCGACCUAUCGCCUCCUCGAUCGACAUCGUGGAGAGGUCUAGCAGGGACUCGAUUGAGCGAGCCAUCUGCUUGUACUUCUCGGGGACGCAGCGGAAGAGCUUCUCGACAGCUCUCUCCUCGCUGUAGGUGUUGUCACCAAACUGCACCACUUUCCGCAGCAAAGUGUUGAGACGGAGAGCAAAAUCAUCAACGUCCUCACCUGGCUUGAAGGCCAAGUCCUCCCACUCCUUGCGGAGUUGCUGCAGUGUGGACUUGCGGGCGCGAUCACUGCCGAUGCGUGCUGCAGCAAUGGCGUCCCAAGCAUCCUUGGCAGUCCGCUUGCUGGUAAGUGAGAACUGCAUCUCGGUCGGGACUGCAGCGAUGAGGGCAUUCAGUGCCCGUCGAUCCUGGUCGUAGUCGACGUCGCCGUACCGGACUGCCUCCCACAUGUGCAGCACCUGAAGUCUCACCUUCAUCACCGCAGCCCACUCAACAUAGUUGGUCUUGGUGAGGGUAGGCCACCCACCACCAGGGCCAACGUCCCUGGCAACAGCAUGGUACCCGUGGUAGCCACGGUACCGGUCCGGGGAGAGAGAGCCACGCGGCCUGCGAAGGCCGUGCUCUUCCUCGACCCGUCCACCGCCGUUGCCAUGUGCGCCUCCUCCAGGAGCGUCGCCGGCUCCACCAUGGUACCGGUCCGGGGAGAGAGAGCCACGCGGCCUGCGAAGGCCAUGCUCUUCCUCGACCCGUCCACCGCCGUUGCCGUGCGCGCCUCCUCCAGGAACGCCGCCGGCGCCUCCACGCCUGUCUGGACUGCGGCCACGCUCGUGGGCGUGCACAGCUGCCCACUGCGCCGCUCGCCGGCGUGCUGCAUCUCUCUCCAGCAGCUCCCGGUCUGGGUCAGCACUGUCAUCAGCAGCGAUGGAGCUGCUGUGACUGCUGCGCAGGUCCUCAACCUCCGCUGCCGCUGCACGCGCUGCAUCUGCAGCUGCUGCUGCCUCCACCUCCGCUCUGGCUGCUGCCAGCUCCGCUUGGGCCAGCCUCGACGCCCUCGCUGCUGCUGCAGCGGUCGCUGCCGCUGCUCGCCUGCGCUCCUCUGCUGCAGCGAGGUCGGCCUCCUGCCGACGCCGCGCGCUCGAGGUGCCCGAGUGCUGAGACUGCCCUUCUGCGGCCAUUGCGCGCUGCUGCGCGGAGAGCAGAGGCAGCCGGAACAGCUGCUGCUGCCAGCCGGGGCUGCUGCGAGGCAGGGAGCUCGACUGGAGAAGGGAUUGAGCAGGAAAUGCUUAGGCUACAGGAUACUACAGCUCCGAUACCACUUGUUAGACGCUGGAUCCUUGCUCUAGGUGUGAGCAGGAUCCUUACUCUCAUUGAGAGGAUAGCACACUGAGUUGGGGCAAUUUUCUGGGUUUAUUUCUCACACAAUGCUAUGCCAACCUGAGGGGUUGAGGAUACAUAUUUAUAGGGCUGCUAACCAGCCAGCAUAUGCCAAGAUGCUAGUCUAAGAUGCUAGUCUAAGAUGCUGUCCUACAGAUGCUAACUGCUGUCCUAAAAGCAGUCAAGAUGCUGUCCUACAGAUGCUAACUGCUGUCCUAAAAGCAGUCAAGGAUGCUGUCCUACACAAGGACCAUGUGCUGCCUACUGCAGCCCACAACCACCAGCCAACAGAGACUUAUCCAUCAAUGAUGA
RNAcentral lists this long non-coding RNA (5772 nucleotides) under Sorghum bicolor (sorghum). Its description in RNAcentral is "long non-coding RNA (SBIC_LNC014452)". The record is from RNAcentral. Lineage: Eukaryota; Viridiplantae; Streptophyta; Magnoliopsida; Poales; Poaceae.